CAGGUCUAACACAUGCAAGUCGAACGAUGGUCUUCGGAUCAUAGUGGCGCACGGGUGCGUAACGCGUGGGAAUCUGCCCUUGGGUCUGGGAUAACAGCGGGAAACUGCUGCUAAUACCGGAUGAUAUCGCGAGAUCAAAGAUUUAUCGCCUGAGGAUGAGCCCGCGUCGGAUUAGCUAGUUGGUGGGGUAAAGGCCUACCAAGGCGACGAUCCGUAGCUGGUCUGAGAGGAUGAUCAGCCACACUGGGACUGAGACACGGCCCAGACUCCUACGGGAGGCAGCAGUGGGGAAUAUUGGACAAUGGGCGAAAGCCUGAUCCAGCAAUGCCGCGUGAGUGAUGAAGGCCUUCGGGUUGUAAAGCUCUUUUACCAGGGAUGAUAAUGACAGUACCUGGAGAAUAAGCUCCGGCUAACUCCGUGCCAGCAGCCGCGGUAAU
This 437-nucleotide ribosomal RNA is filed under the name uncultured bacterium. RNAcentral's name for it is "bacterial SSU rRNA". It matches the Rfam family "Bacterial small subunit ribosomal RNA", at positions 43 to 524 of the family's 1533-position model. The record is from RNAcentral.